This 980-nucleotide ribosomal RNA is filed under the name human gut metagenome. RNAcentral's name for it is "bacterial LSU rRNA". It matches the Rfam family "Bacterial large subunit ribosomal RNA", at positions 1945 to 2925 of the family's 2925-position model. The record is from RNAcentral.
ACGGUCCUAAGGUAGCGAAAUUCCUUGUCGGGUAAGUUCCGACCCGCACGAAAGGCGUAAUGAUUUGAGCGCUGUCUCGACAAUGCAUCCGGUGAAAUUGAAGUACCAGUGAAGAUGCUGGUUACCUGCGCCAGGACGGAAAGACCCCAUGGAGCUUUACUCCAGUCUGGUACUGGGACUCGGUAUUGCAUGUACAGGAUAGGUGGGAGGCUAGGAGAUGGUAACGCCAGUUGCCAUGGAGCCGCUGUUGGGAUACCACCCUUGCAGUAUUGGGUUUCUAACCAGCCGCCGUGACCCGGCGGUGGGACAAUGCCAGACGGGGAGUUUGACUGGGGCGGUCGCCUCCGAAAGGGUAUCGGAGGCGCUCAAAGGUUCCCUCAGAAUGGUUGGAAACCAUUCGAAGAGUGCAAAGGCAGAAGGGAGCUUGACUGCGACACCGACGGGUGGAGCAGGUACGAAAGUAGGGCUUAGUGAUCCGGUGGUAUUAAGUGGGAAUGCCAUCGCUCAACGGAUAAAAGCUACCCUGGGGAUAACAGGCUUAUCACUCCCAAGAGUUCACAUCGACGGAGUGGUUUGGCACCUCGAUGUCGGCUCAUCGCAUCCUGGGGCUGUAGCAGGUCCCAAGGGUUGGGCUGUUCGCCCAUUAAAGCGGUACGCGAGCUGGGUUCAGAACGUCGUGAGACAGUUCGGUCCCUAUCCGGCGUGGGCGUAGGAUAUCUGAGAGGAGCUGUCCUUAGUACGAGAGGACCGGGAUGGACGGGCCGCUGGUGCAUCGGUUAGACUGCCAAGUCUACGGCCGAGUAGCCAAGCCCGGAAGGGAUAAACGCUGAAGGCAUCUAAGCGUGAAGCCCCCCUCAAGAUGAGAUAUCCCAUUCUUAAAGAAGUAAGACCCCUUGAAGACGACGAGGUAGAUAGGGCAGAGGUGGAAGUGCCGUAAGGCAUGGAGCUGACUGUUACUAAUCGGUCGAGGGCUUGACCUA